UUAAAUUGAAGAGUUUGAUCAUGGCUCAGAUUGAACGCUGGCGGCAGGCCUAACACAUGCAAGUCGAACGGUAACAGGAAGCAGCUUGCUGCUUUGCUGACGAGUGGCGGACGGGUGAGUAAUGUCUGGGAAACUGCCUGAUGGAGGGGGAUAACUACUGGAAACGGUAGCUAAUACCGCAUAACGUCGCAAGACCAAAGAGGGGGACCUUCGGGCCUCUUGCCAUCGGAUGUGCCCAGAUGGGAUUAGCUUGUUGGUGGGGUAACGGCUCACCAAGGCGACGAUCCCUAGCUGGUCUGAGAGGAUGACCAGCCACACUGGAACUGAGACACGGUCCAGACUCCUACGGGAGGCAGCAGUGGGGAAUAUUGCACAAUGGGCGCAAGCCUGAUGCAGCCAUGCCGCGUGUAUGAAGAAGGCCUUCGGGUUGUAAAGUACUUUCAGCGGGGAGGAAGGGAGUAAAGUUAAUACCUUUACUCAUUGACGUUACCCGCAGAAGAAGCACCGGCUAACUCCGUGCCAGCAGCCGCGGUAAUACGGAG
RNAcentral lists this ribosomal RNA (542 nucleotides) under Escherichia coli. RNAcentral's name for it is "bacterial SSU rRNA". It matches the Rfam family "Bacterial small subunit ribosomal RNA", at positions 1 to 530 of the family's 1533-position model. The record is from RNAcentral. Lineage: Bacteria; Pseudomonadati; Pseudomonadota; Gammaproteobacteria; Enterobacterales; Enterobacteriaceae.